UUGUUCAUUAUCUGUAUUAUCAGAAAGUUGCACCAUGUUUCUACUUUUAAAUGUAGUUAUAUAUUAGAACAUAAUGUUUCAUUUUCUAUUUGUCUCUUUAGAUUUGAAUGUAUUGUCCCAGAGGGAUAUUUGUUUUCACAGUCAGUACACAGAAACAUGGAUAUACAUACAGCAACACAUAGCAACUGAACAUACACAUGGCAACAUAUAGAUAAACACAUGGCCACAUACAGUUAUGGACGGUACACAAAAACUUAAUGUAUACAUUUAAUCAAUUAUCCAAGUUCACAACCGUGUCCACGAGGCAGAUUGUUCAAGGCUGCAGAAGGAACUUUUACUUCUGACCUCUUUCCUUCCCAGAGCAAAUAUGCUCUGUAAGAUCUUGUUCAGAAUUAACUUGGCAUCAAGUCACAUAUCUGACACAUAAGCCGUUGUAAUGGAUAUUAUUGCAUCAUAUUAAAGACGAUAUCUCUCUAGUCGUUGGCGUCGAUGAUCAUGUUGAUGCUUAGAAACAGAUUGACCAAGAUUUGUUAACAUGCCCUCGUCUGUGUGGCACUUUUCCAGCUCUGAGUCAGGAGACUGUUCUCCACGUGCGGUGACGCAGACUCAUCACAGGGUUUCACAGCCCUCAGAAUGAACUUCUUACUGGACCAGGUCCAGUACUCAUAGCUGGUCACAAGCUGGUCUCCGUGUUCCCAGCUCAGCAGAAGGCACAGAUGGUAGGAGAACACAGCUGAUGGACAUGUGAUCCAGAGCUCUGUCCAGCAGACUGCAGCUUCCUUAUCCAGUUUAAAUGAUUAUCAAUGUAAAGGGAAAUGAUCUGUUGCUCUUGAUUGUUGAAUACAUGUUUUUGGUAGUAAGUAAAAUGUGAUGUUACAUGUGUUGACUAUCCAAUUGUUUAUAACAGCUUUUUAGUAUGAACAAAGGGAACCUAGUCGUACACGAACCAACCAGCCAGUCACACGAGGUAGACUUGUAGGUAGGUAGUUUUUCUCUAUUUUUAUAAUACUUAACAUUGUUCAGAAGUUGGCUAUAGUAAGUAUUAUUCUAAGAGUUGUUUACUAUUUAUUUAUUUAUUAAAUUCUAGUGUGAAAUGUUUUUCAGAUAAUCUGAUUUUCAUUUAGAUCUGUUUUGCACAAAAGUUCAUUAUACUUGAUUUUUGUUGUCCCAAUAAAAAAGGUUUUCUAAUAA
Long non-coding RNA from Cottoperca gobio, 1191 nucleotides. RefSeq lists it as uncharacterized. The record is from RefSeq and is a predicted model, not a curated record. NCBI's taxonomy places the organism in Eukaryota, Metazoa, Chordata, Actinopteri, Perciformes, Bovichtidae. The transcript has 2 exons.